This 429-nucleotide ribosomal RNA is filed under the name Pseudomonadota bacterium. Its description in RNAcentral is "Proteobacteria bacterium partial 16S ribosomal RNA". It matches the Rfam family "Bacterial small subunit ribosomal RNA", at positions 355 to 776 of the family's 1533-position model. Lineage: Bacteria; Pseudomonadati; Pseudomonadota. The record is from RNAcentral.
UGGGGAAUAUUGGACAAUGGGCGAAAGCCUGAUCCAGCCAUGCCGCGUGUGUGAAGAAGGUCUUCGGAUUGUAAAGCACUUUAAGUUGGGAGGAAGGGCAGUAAGCGAAUACCUUGCUGUUUUGACGUUACCGACAGAAUAAGCACCGGCUAACUCUGUGCCAGCAGCCGCGGUAAUACAGAGGGUGCAAGCGUUAAUCGGAAUUACUGGGCGUAAAGCGCGCGUAGGUGGUUCGUUAAGUUGAAUGUGAAAGCCCCGGGCUCAACCUGGGAACUGCAUCCAAAACUGGCGAGCUAGAGUAGGGCAGAGGGUGGUGGAAUUUCCUGUGUAGCGGAGAAAUGCGUAGAUAUAGGAAGGAACACCAGUGGCGAAGGCGACCACCUGGGCGCAUACUGACACUGAGGUGCGAAAGCGUGGGGAGCAAACAGG